Molecule: transfer RNA, 75 nt
Filed under: Serratia marcescens
Lineage: Bacteria; Pseudomonadati; Pseudomonadota; Gammaproteobacteria; Enterobacterales; Yersiniaceae
Description: tRNA-Ala
Rfam family: tRNA
About the family: Transfer RNA (tRNA) molecules are approximately 80 nucleotides in length. Their secondary structure includes four short double-helical elements and three loops (D, anti-codon, and T loops).
Source: RNAcentral
GGGGCUAUAGCUCAGCUGGGAGAGCGCCUGCCUUGCACGCAGGAGGCAGCGGUUCGAUCCCGCUUAGCUCCACCA